AGAAUCCCGUCUGUGACCGGUGACCGAUCCCAUGCGAAACCCUUUCGACGAGUCGAGUUGUUUGGGAAUGCAGCUCAAAAUGGGUGGUAAAUUUCAUCUAAAGCUAAAUACUGGCUGGAGACCGAUAGCGCACAAGUAGAGUGAUCGAAAGAUGAAAAGCACUUUGGAAAGAGAGUCAAAAAGUACGUGAAAUUGUUGAAAGGGAAGCGCUUGCAACCAGACCUGUCCGUGGGUGAUCAGCCGCCGUUCUCGGUGGUGCACUCGCCUACGAUCAGGCCAGCAUCGGUUCGGGCGGCCGGACAAAGGCCUUGGGAAUGUAGCUCCUCUCGGGGAGUCUUAUAGCCCUCGGUGCAAUGUGGCCAGCCCGGACCGAGGACCGCGCUUCGGCUAGGAUGCUGGCGUAAUGGUUGUAAGCGACCCGUCUUGAAACACGGACCAAGGAGUCUAACAUCUAUGCGAGUGUUUGGGUGUUAAACCCAUACGCGGAAUGAAAGUGAACGGAGGUGAGAACCCUUUAGGGCGCAUCAUCGACCGAUCCAGAUGUCUUCGGAUGGAUUUGAGUAUGAGCAUAGCUGUUGGGACCCGAAAGAUGGUGAACUAUGCCUGAAUAGGGUGAAGCCAGAGGAAACUCUGGUGGAGGCUCGCAGCGGU
Molecule: ribosomal RNA, 651 nt
Filed under: Protoparmelia aff. badia A GS-2015
Lineage: Eukaryota; Fungi; Ascomycota; Lecanoromycetes; Lecanorales; Parmeliaceae
Description: eukaryotic LSU rRNA
Rfam family: Eukaryotic large subunit ribosomal RNA
Source: RNAcentral